RNAcentral lists this ribosomal RNA (686 nucleotides) under Salmonella enterica subsp. enterica serovar Glostrup. RNAcentral describes it as "partial 23S ribosomal RNA". It matches the Rfam family "Bacterial large subunit ribosomal RNA", at positions 2164 to 2844 of the family's 2925-position model. The record is from RNAcentral. Lineage: Bacteria; Pseudomonadati; Pseudomonadota; Gammaproteobacteria; Enterobacterales; Enterobacteriaceae.
GUGGACGCCAGUCUGCGUGGAGCCGACCUUGAAAUACCACCCUUUAAUGUUUGAUGUUCUAACGUGGACCCGUGAUCCGGGUUGCGGACAGUGUCUGGUGGGUAGUUUGACUGGGGCGGUCUCCUCCUAAAGAGUAACGGAGGAGCACGAAGGUUGGCUAAUCCUGGUCGGACAUCAGGAGGUUAGUGCAAUGGCAUAAGCCAGCUUGACUGCGAGCGUGACGGCGCGAGCAGGUGCGAAAGCAGGUCAUAGUGAUCCGGUGGUUCUGAAUGGAAGGGCCAUCGCUCAACGGAUAAAAGGUACUCCGGGGAUAACAGGCUGAUACCGCCCAAGAGUUCAUAUCGACGGCGGUGUUUGGCACCUCGAUGUCGGCUCAUCACAUCCUGGGGCUGAAGUAGGUCCCAAGGGUAUGGCUGUUCGCCAUUUAAAGUGGUACGCGAGCUGGGUUUAGAACGUCGUGAGACAGUUCGGUCCCUAUCUGCCGUGGGCGCUGGAGAACUGAGGGGGGCUGCUCCUAGUACGAGAGGACCGGAGUGGACGCAUCACUGGUGUUCGGGUUGUCAUGCCAAUGGCACUGCCCGGUAGCUAAAUGCGGAAGAGAUAAGUGCUGAAAGCAUCUAAGCACGAAACUUGCCCCGAGAUGAGUUCUCCCUGAGACUUAGAGUCUCCUGAAGGAACGUUGAAGA